This 440-nucleotide ribosomal RNA is filed under the name uncultured bacterium. RNAcentral's name for it is "partial 16S ribosomal RNA". It matches the Rfam family "Bacterial small subunit ribosomal RNA", at positions 338 to 795 of the family's 1533-position model. The record is from RNAcentral.
CCUUCGGGUGGCAGCAGUGGGGAAUAUUGCUCAAUGGGGGAAACCCUGAACCAGCAACGCCGCGUGAGGGAUGAAGGUUUUCGGAUUUGUAACUCUUUUUUUUAAAGAGGUAAAUGCCGGUAUCUAACGAAGAAGGACCGGCGAACUCUGUGCAGGCAGCCCUGGUAAGACGGAGGUGGCAGGGGUUAUACGGAAUAAAUGGGCGGAAAGAGCGCGUAGGCGGGAUAGAAAGUCAGAUGUGAAAUCCUAUGGCUUAACCAUAAAUCUGCAGUUGAAACUGGUAUUCUAGAGUAUGCGAGAGGUAGGUGGAAUUCUUGGUGUAGGGGUAAAAUCCGUAGAGAUCAAGAGGAAUACUCAUUGCGAAGGCGACCUGCUAGAACCUAACUGACGCUGAUGCGCGAAAGCGUGGGGAGCAAACAGGAUUAGAUACCCCUGUAGUC